This 253-nucleotide unclassified non-coding RNA is filed under the name uncultured Thermomicrobiaceae bacterium. RNAcentral describes it as "contains 16S-23S intergenic spacer region". It matches the Rfam family "Bacterial small subunit ribosomal RNA", at positions 524 to 776 of the family's 1533-position model. Lineage: Bacteria; Pseudomonadati; Thermomicrobiota; Thermomicrobia; Thermomicrobiales; Thermomicrobiaceae. The record is from RNAcentral.
GACGUAGGGGCCGAGCGUUGUCCGGAGUUACUGGGCGUAAAGGGCGCGUAGGCGGCCUGACAGGUCCGACGUGAAAGCCCCCGGCUCAACCGGGGAGGGUCGUCGGAAACCGUUGGGCUUGAGGCAGGGAGAGGCUGGUGGAAUUCCCGGAGUAGUGGUGAAAUGCGUAGAUAUCGGGAGGAACACCGGUGGCGGAGGCGGCCAGCUGGCCCUGACCUGACGCUGAGGCGCGAAGGCGUGGGGAGCGAACGGG